UCCUGCCAGGAUCCGUAAUAAGUUUGGCUUGACAGAAGACUUGGCUUCCUUGGUCUAAUUCUCUUGCAAAACCCCAGAGUUUACCCAAUGUCUGGGUCUUGAAGCUUUUGCAACCUGACCUCGUUGGACCUAGGGAUGUCCCCUUGACUAAGGGCCUCGGGAGGGGAGCUAAAAUGGAGCUGCCAGCUGAUGGGGGAAACCCACAGGGACAUGGAGUUCCCCUUGGUCAACGAGGAGGAAGAGGGGUUAACCAUGGUGCUUCUCGCCCUUGAAGGGUUGAACUCAAAUUUGUAGAUCUUCUGAGAUGGUCAGAAGCCAGGGUUACCUUUAAGGCUUUGAGUGGAGCCAGGACCUCAUAAAGGACUGUAUGGUGGCCUUUUAUUAGUGAGUCUAGAAAACUAGAAGUGGAAAGAUAGAUUUAAAAAAGAGACAGCACCAAGGUGCUGUAGGAAGCAUAUGAGUGACCUUUGGGGCCAGAAAGGUCUGGGCUGGAUCCCUGCUCCACCACUCCUUCACUGUGUGAUAGUAGGUAAAUUGCUGAAUCUCUCUGGGACUUACAUUCCACACCACCAAUUGGACUUCAAGCACCAGCCACGAUGCCCACCCUUGAACGACAACUACAAGCCUGAACUACUAACACAGAACAAAACAAUGAGAAGCCAAUCUGCCCAAGCAGCAAGGAGAACUGGGAAUAUCUCUUUCUGUGACCAACCUAUUCCUGCAAGACCUUGAAGUUCGAAAGGCUCCUCUGGCUUUGCCAACCUACCUUCAGGCUGUACACAGAGAGCCAUGG
This is a non-coding RNA of Marmota flaviventris (yellow-bellied marmot), 793 nucleotides long. The record is from RefSeq and is a predicted model, not a curated record. NCBI's taxonomy places the organism in Eukaryota, Metazoa, Chordata, Mammalia, Rodentia, Sciuridae.